CAGCGACUUUCCAGAUCAAACACUCUGAAUAAACCUGUGUUGGUCCAGUUCUUAACAAAUUCCAAGCUUUCUAGUGUGGGUUGAUAUCGGCUGUUGGUCACUGAUCAAAUAUUCUUUUCAAAUCUCACAUACUCAAGAGCUCCCCAUGGUACCAGGAUGUACUGUACUAGGAAUGUGCUUUUUUUAGAGAAAAGGGAUUAUUUGAAUCUCUACAGAUUUAUCAAAGCUACUUGCAGUUUGAGGGUAGGGUGGGGUCAGGCAGGGACAGAUGACAUUCCUUCUUUUCUCUCACUCUCUCUUCUUUCUUCUGCCUCUUAAAUAUGAAUUCCAAGGAUGCUAACAUGCCUCUCUCAUCCAUUUCCACUCUGCCUGGGCCAUCUUGUCUUCACCAAGGGCUUCAUUACCAGCUAUGUAUACACUGAUUAAUAGGUUAUCCUUUCACUUGGAGCAAGAAGACUACUUUCUACUCGGCUGCGCCCAUCUGAGGCUUUGGGAAAACAUACAACUGCAAACACACUCAAUUGAGGCAGGCAGUGAGCGCCAUCUGGGAAAACCUCCUUCUCAGCGAGCUGCUUAUUUGACUUGCCAAAGCGUGGGCUGGUAUAUCCUUUUUAACAGGCUCAGAAUGAAUGAAUGGCAGCAGGAUAAGUGAGGAUGAAGAAUGAGCUGAAGGUGGACUUCACCUACAGCGGCUGAAUUCAGGUAGCCAGGACCUGCAGAACUGCAGAAUCACCGGAUACUCUCAGAAAGCAGAGAUAAACAGGAGACCAUCUGACCUCUAACAACCAUAACAGAAGCAGAUCUAAGACCUGCCAUCUGGACUUUAGAGCCAGGGGUGCAAGCAUUCAACAAACAGGCAGAGCAACAAGAGACCCACGAACAGCACUCCUCCCCACUGUGCAGAGGAGACCAUUGCACUGGACUUUUGCAUCAGAGCUUCCUAUGCUAUAACCAGAAAGUCAAAGCUCCCAGAAAACUUAGCCUAACUGAUCCGUAUCUACAUAUAUUCAGUCAGAGCUCAGAAGAAUUCAUGAACCCAAGAAUUCAGGGGCGCGUUCCUUACAAAUAAAACGCAAAAUAACAGCAACAAUAAAACCCAUUGGAAAGGGGAUCCUCCUGUACUGUCAGUGGGAAUGUAAAUUGGUGUAGCUACUAUGGGAAAAUGGUAUGGUGAUUACUUUAAAAAGUAAAAAUAGAGUUAUGAUCCAGCAAACCCUCUUCUGGGCAUAUAUCCAGAAAAGACAAAAUCUCUAAUUUGAAAUGAUACAUGUAUCCCAAUGCUCACAGCUGCACCUUAGAAUUGUAUGUAUGUGGUCUACACACGCACACGUACAAUGGAAUAUUACUCAGCCAUAAAAAGAAUGAAAUCAUGCCACAUGCAGCAAUAUGGAUGGACCUAGAGGUUAUCAUUUUGAAUUUAGUAAGUCAGAUAAAGAAAGACAAAUAGCAUAUGAUAUCACUUAUGUGGAAUCUAAAAACA
This 1480-nucleotide long non-coding RNA is filed under the name Capra hircus (goat). RNAcentral's name for it is "lncRNA (ENSCHIG00000001331.1)". The record is from RNAcentral. Lineage: Eukaryota; Metazoa; Chordata; Mammalia; Artiodactyla; Bovidae.